Long non-coding RNA from Trichoplusia ni (cabbage looper), 381 nucleotides. RefSeq lists it as uncharacterized. The record is from RefSeq and is a predicted model, not a curated record. Lineage: Eukaryota; Metazoa; Arthropoda; Insecta; Lepidoptera; Noctuidae. The transcript has 3 exons.
UCGAGGGCUUCCGUUCAAAAAUUCCUAACUUAUAUCUUGUAACCACGCGGACGAGGUCGGGGGCAACAGCAAGUCAUAUAAUAAAGGCAUGAACCAGCAACCAUACAACCUAUAGACGCCUAAUGCUUAAAAAAGUUCUGUCAACUGGCUGAGGUAGAUGAAAUAGUAUGCUUUUUAGCUGGAUUCAUCAAAUGAAGAUUUGAAGAUUUCCAGUUGUAUUAAAAUUGAAACUAUUCCUAUUCUCUUAAGCAUUUUGCCAAUAAAAUAAUUGGAAAUCCAUUAUAUUGACCAUUGUGCUGUUUGAUCCGAACGCAGAGCCACCAAUUGGACUUUUUAAACAUAAUCUAUGACCAUUCAUCGAGGAAGAUUUUAGGCUAUAAA